Molecule: ribosomal RNA, 469 nt
Filed under: uncultured bacterium
Lineage: Bacteria
Description: partial 16S ribosomal RNA
Rfam family: Bacterial small subunit ribosomal RNA
Source: RNAcentral
GAUGAACGCUGGCGGCGUGCUUAACACAUGCAAGUCGAACGGUGAAACCGGAGCUUGCCUUGUGGGAUCAGUGGCGAACGGGUGAGUAACACGUGAGCAACCUGCCCCUGACUCUGUGAUAAGCGCUGGAAACGGCGUCUAAUACUGGAUAUGUGACGUUACCGCAUGGUCUUCGUUUGGAAAGGUUUUUCGGUUUGGGAUGGGUUCGCGGCCUCUCGGCUUGUUGGUGAGGUAAUGGCGGACCAAGGUGUCGACGGGUAGCCGGCCUGGGAGGGUGACCGGCGACAAGAGGACUGAGAGACGGAGCAGAAGGCAACGGGAGGCAACGGGGGGAAAUAUGGCACAAUGGGGGCGAGCGUGAGACAGAGGCGCCGGGUGAGGGAUGACGGGCUUCGGGGGAAAAACCACUUUGAGCAGGGAAGAAGAGAAAGUGACGGUACCUGAAGAAAAAGCGCCGGCUAACUACGUG